UACGAAGGGGGCUAGCGUUGCUCGGAAUCACUGGGCGUAAAGCGCACGUAGGCGGAUCUUUAAGUCAGGGGUGAAAUCCCAAGGCUCAACCUUGGAACUGCCUUUGAUACUGGGGAUCUCGAGUCCGGAAGAGGUGAGUGGAACUGCGAGUGUAGAGGUGAAAUUCGUAGAUAUUCGCAAGAACACCAGUGGCGAAGGCGGCUCACUGGUCCGGUACUGACGCUGAGGUGCGAAAGCGUGGGGAGCAAACAGGG
Molecule: ribosomal RNA, 254 nt
Filed under: uncultured bacterium
Lineage: Bacteria
Description: partial 16S ribosomal RNA
Rfam family: Bacterial small subunit ribosomal RNA
Source: RNAcentral